UGUCACGAGUUUUUGUGUUAUAUUAAGGAUGAUGAGAUCUGCCAGUGUUUACUUUUGUUUCUUUUUUCCCUCUCAUGUUCUCUCAAUUUCUCUAGGAGUUGUUUACUUUCCUAUGACAGUCAAAUGAGGCACCAUAGACUUUACUCUUCAUCCAAAAAGGGGAAAUGCAAUUGGACAUGCAGCUUAUCGCAGGAAGGCUUGGAAACAUGGAAUGGAUACACAAAGACUCCAGAUCCCCAAAAGAAUAGAACCAUUUCAUUCUGCCUUCCACUGCCAUGUCUUCUCUCUGUUUCUGCUCUUCAAAGAUUCUGAGAAUCAUCUAAGUCUGCUUAAAAGGGCAGAUUUUACAUAUGUUUCUGACUUUGAUUUUCAUAAGAACAUUCCCCAAGAUUUCCAAAAGGCCAACACCUUGAAAAAGUAGGUCAGAUGAUUUAGUACUUGUUUUUUGAAUGUUUUAAAUGUUGAAUGCAACCUUGAUUGGUUCUAGGUGUGCAUUUAGCAUUUAAUUAGAAAUCUAUGCAAUGACCCCUUUCCCACUUUGUUUACGAGAACAUUUAGUAUUAGACAACUAUGUCUGUGGAGCUGGGGUGACUUUCAGAAAGGGAACAUAUAGCCAAAGUUUUGUUUCUACUUAAGUGUAAGGGCAAAGCAUGGCCUCACACAUACAAAUUGUUAAAAAUUCAUUUCUGACUAUGUGUCUGGACACCAGAGUAUCAUUUGCUCUUGUAUUUCAUAAUUAAGUCACUCUAGGGUUAGAGUCACUCAUUCUAUUACCAUGAUAGAUUUCAGUUUCCAUAAUGAGCCCAUCUGAAUUCCAGCAUUGAUUUUCUUUUCCUUGGGAAGAAACACAAAAUCAUUCAUUUGACCUCGAGUUGUCAAUUCAUCAACAGGCCAGGCUCUGUGCUUUGGGACCGUAUAAUAAAUAGUUUUGCUACUGACCACAGAGUUGGAUGGAAUGAUCCCUUUCUGUAGAGAGAACAGGGGGUAAUCCAAGUGAGGGCACAUGGGGAGUGAUUUCUCUUGCCAUCUGCAUUUUGCAUAGGAUCAUGUAACUGCCAGACCAGCAGGCCUGUUCAUUUACCCUGUCAGCUCCAAACAGAGCAGAUUUCAGAGAGAGAAAAAAAAAAGCGAAAUCCAAACAGAGAAGUGGCUUCUGUUUUCUCUUGUCUUGACAUCCUUGGUUCUUAGUCAUUAAAAUAUUUCUUUACUCUUUUUAGACAAAAUAUCCUAAAAUCUUUUCCCUUUAAAAGUUUCCAAAGCUCACAGUGUGGCAGCAGAGUCUCCUCAUAUGUUUAAGAAAUAAGAAAACAAACAUAAACCGUUCCCCCCAUCCCAUUUGAACUCCUUGUUUUGUUAAGUGUUUGUUAUUACCCUUAUCAUUAGGAUUCGUUUAAAUAUAUCCUCAAAGGUUUGGAAUAAAAUUCAUUAACACAUAUAUGCUAAAGGUCAUGUCUAUAUACAAAUGUGUUUGGCUAGUUUGACUAAAUACAUGAAACUACUUAGUAAGUAGAAUGAAAAUUUAAAAACCUUAUCAGUUUUG
This is a long non-coding RNA of Manis pentadactyla (Chinese pangolin), 1540 nucleotides long. RefSeq lists it as uncharacterized. Lineage: Eukaryota; Metazoa; Chordata; Mammalia; Pholidota; Manidae. The transcript has 3 exons. The record is from RefSeq and is a predicted model, not a curated record.